This 427-nucleotide ribosomal RNA is filed under the name uncultured Vibrio sp. Its description in RNAcentral is "bacterial SSU rRNA". It matches the Rfam family "Bacterial small subunit ribosomal RNA", at positions 355 to 774 of the family's 1533-position model. The record is from RNAcentral. Lineage: Bacteria; Pseudomonadati; Pseudomonadota; Gammaproteobacteria; Vibrionales; Vibrionaceae.
UGGGGAAUAUUGCACAAUGGGGGGAACCCUGAUGCAGCCAUGCCGCGUGAAUGAAGAAGGCCUUCGGGUUGUAAAGUUCUUUCGGUGACGAGGAAGGUUGAUAGGUUAAUAGCCUAUCAAAUUGACGUUAAUCACAGAAGAAGCACCGGCUAACUCCGUGCCAGCAGCCGCGGUAAUACGGGGGGUGCGAGCGUUAAUCGGAAUAACUGGGCGUAAAGGGCACGCAGGCGGUGACUUAAGUGAGAUGUGAAAGCCCCGAGCUUAACUUGGGAAUUGCAUUUCAUACUGGGUCGCUAGAGUACUUUAGGGAGGGGUAGAAUUCCACGUGUAGCGGUGAAAUGCGUAGAGAUGUGGAGGAAUACCGAAGGCGAAGGCAGCCCCUUGGGAAUGUACUGACGCUCAUGUGCGAAAGCGUGGGGAGCAAACA